GACCAACGCUGACGGUAUGCUUUAUACAUGCAAGUCGAACGGUAAGGUCUCUUCGGAGAUACACGAGUGGCGGACGGGUGAGUAACACGUAGGAAUAUGCCCUUCAGUGGGGGACAACCAGGAGAAAUUCUGGCUAAUACCCCAUACGCAGUGAUGUGAAAGAUUUAUCGCUGGAGGAGUAGCCUGCGCUUGAUUAGCUUGUUGGUGGGGUAAAAGCCUACCAAGGCGACGAUCAAUAGCUGGUCUGAGAGGAUGGCCAGCCACAAUGGGACUGAGAUACGGCCCAUACUCCUACGGGAGGCAGCAGUAGGGAAUUUUGCGCAAUGGGCGAAAGCCUGACGCAGCAAUACCGUGUGCGGGAAGACGCUUUGUGGAGUGUAAACCGCUGUCAGAUGGGAUGAAUCAAUGACCGUACCAUCAAAGGAAGGACCGGCUAACUCUG
Molecule: ribosomal RNA, 442 nt
Filed under: uncultured cyanobacterium
Lineage: Bacteria; Bacillati; Cyanobacteriota
Description: bacterial SSU rRNA
Rfam family: Bacterial small subunit ribosomal RNA
Source: RNAcentral